ACUCUUAGGGGAGGCACCAGUGGGGAAUAUUGCCCAAGGGGGGAAACCCUGACGCAGCAACGCCGCGUGAGGGAGGAAGUCCUUGGGGUGGUAAACUCCUUUCGCCCGGGAAGAUAAUGACGUAC
This 125-nucleotide ribosomal RNA is filed under the name uncultured Acidobacteriota bacterium. Its description in RNAcentral is "uncultured Acidobacteria bacterium partial 16S ribosomal RNA". It matches the Rfam family "Bacterial small subunit ribosomal RNA", at positions 335 to 459 of the family's 1533-position model. Lineage: Bacteria; Pseudomonadati; Acidobacteriota. The record is from RNAcentral.